This 517-nucleotide ribosomal RNA is filed under the name uncultured bacterium. RNAcentral's name for it is "bacterial SSU rRNA". It matches the Rfam family "Bacterial small subunit ribosomal RNA", at positions 8 to 518 of the family's 1533-position model. The record is from RNAcentral.
AGAGUUUGAUCAUGGCUCAGGAUGAACGCUAGCUACAGGCUUAACACAUGCAAGUCGAGGGGCAGCAUUGGAGUAGCAAUACUCAGAUGGCGACCGGCGCACGGGUGAGUAACACGUAUCCAACCUGCCGCUUACUCGGGGAUAGCCUUUCGAAAGAAAGAUUAAUACCCGAUGGUAUAAAGAGUUCGCAUGUUCUCUUUAUUAAAGAAUUUCGGUAAGCGAUGGGGAUGCGUUCCAUUAGAUAGUUGGCGGGGUAACGGCCCACCAAGUCUACGAUGGAUAGGGGUUCUGAGAGGAAGGUCCCCCACAUUGGAACUGAGACACGGUCCAAACUCCUACGGGAGGCAGCAGUGAGGAAUAUUGGUCAAUGGACGAGAGUCUGAACCAGCCAAGUAGCGUGAAGGAUGACUGCCCUAUGGGUUGUAAACUUCUUUUAUAAGGGAAUAAAGUGAGGGACGUGUCCCUUUUUGUAUGUACCAUAUGAAUAAGGAUCGGCUAACUCCGUGCCAGCAGCUGC